RNAcentral lists this ribosomal RNA (254 nucleotides) under uncultured bacterium. RNAcentral describes it as "partial 16S ribosomal RNA". It matches the Rfam family "Bacterial small subunit ribosomal RNA", at positions 524 to 777 of the family's 1533-position model. The record is from RNAcentral.
UACGUAGGGUGCGAGCGUUGCUCGGAAUCACUGGGCGUAGAGGGUGCGUAGGCGGGUCUUUAAGUCAGGGGUGAAAUCCUGGAGCUCAACUCCAGAACUGCCUUUGAUACUGAAGAUCUUGAGUUCGGGAGAGGUGAGUGGAACUGCGAGUGUAGAGGUGAAAUUCGUAGAUAUUCGCAAGAACACCAGUGGCGAAGGCGGCUCACUGGCCCGAUACUGACGCUGAGGCACGAAAGCGUGGGGAGCAAACAGGG